Molecule: non-coding RNA, 630 nt
Organism: Doryrhamphus excisus (bluestripe pipefish)
Lineage: Eukaryota; Metazoa; Chordata; Actinopteri; Syngnathiformes; Syngnathidae
Source: RefSeq, a predicted model, not a curated record
CGUCAUUUGCACGUACUGUUUAAGUGGCAAGCUAACAGUCAUAUAGAUUUCCAAGACUUUAAGGACCUUUUUUCACGACCAGCAGCCAACGAGCCCAUCGAGGAAGGAUGGAGGAAAAAAGGAAGGAGGGAGGGAGGAAGGAAGUGAGCAAUAAGGAAGCAUGGGUAGGACGGAGGAGGCAGGUGAAGGAUUGGAAGUAGAGGAGGUCAUGAAGGAUGCAUGGAGGAGGACAACAAAGAAGGAAGAAGAUAAAGGAUGGAGGGAGUAAAUGAAGGAGAUGAAGGGGGUAAGAAGAAACAAGCGACGUCACAACGCCCUCGCGGGAAAAACCAAGAAAGACAAAAGCAAGAGUGACUGAAGGCCACGUUCAACCGCAGGUGAUGGCGAACAUCAGCGGCCGCCAUCUUUCAUCUCCGCUCACCAACACAAAAUACUAACAUCAAGACGUCGGAAAAAAGGAAAUCAAAUUAUUGUGUCAGUCAAAUAUCUUCAGGAAGCCACAAGUUUCAUCGUGAGCAAAGAGUUUCUAUAAAAACAGACAGAAGGACAGCUGACGCCCCCUUGUGGUUGCUUUUAGACUUUCGGACUCAUUCUGCAGCGAAUAUUCCUUACAGUCGUUUACAAUAAGCA